This 36-nucleotide ribosomal RNA is filed under the name Clostridioides difficile. RNAcentral's name for it is "partial 23S ribosomal RNA". Lineage: Bacteria; Bacillati; Bacillota; Clostridia; Peptostreptococcales; Peptostreptococcaceae. The record is from RNAcentral.
GUUAUUAAGGGUGCAGGGCGGAUGCCUUGGCAAUAA